This 164-nucleotide small RNA is filed under the name Gopherus agassizii (Agassiz's desert tortoise). Its description in RNAcentral is "TUC338 (ENSGAGG00000022404.1)". The record is from RNAcentral. Lineage: Eukaryota; Metazoa; Chordata; Testudines; Testudinidae.
UUAACAGCCAUGGAGACUGAAGGCCUCCAUUUAUCCACGGAACAGGUCCAGCUUGGGCAGCAGCAAUGUGAGCAUCCACAUCUCACUGGUACCUCCCUCCACACUCGGAGGGUCCCCUUUAGAAGGGACUUGAUUCUCUGUGGCCUACUCAACCCAUGGCCUUU